This 361-nucleotide ribosomal RNA is filed under the name Hyalomma impressum. Its description in RNAcentral is "partial large subunit ribosomal RNA". The record is from RNAcentral. Lineage: Eukaryota; Metazoa; Arthropoda; Arachnida; Ixodida; Ixodidae.
UGGUAUUUUGACUAUACAAAGGUAUUGUAAUAAGGUUUUAAUUGAAUGCUAAGAGAAUGGAAAUUUAAAAAAAAACUUUUUUAAAAAUAAAAAUUAAAUUUUUUUUAAUUUGUGCAAAAACAAUUAUUGUUAUUAAAGACAAGAAGACCCUAAGAAUUUAAGAUUAAAAACUAAAAAAUUUUUUAAUUUUUAAUCUUGAUUGGGGCGAUCAAAAAAUAUUAAUAACUUUUAAAAAUUUAAAUUGAUCUAUUAUUAAUAAAUAAAUGAAUUAAAUACUCUAGGGAUAACAGCGUAAUAAUUUUUGAUAGAUCUUAUUGACAAAAUAGUUUGCGACCUCGAUGUUGGAUUAGGAUUCUUUUUU